Molecule: long non-coding RNA, 3678 nt
Organism: Magnolia sinica
Lineage: Eukaryota; Viridiplantae; Streptophyta; Magnoliopsida; Magnoliales; Magnoliaceae
Exons: 3
Source: RefSeq, a predicted model, not a curated record
GUGGCUAAAAACUUCAUUAAAAUCAAGGAAGGGGCCCCCAUUAGUGUUAAGGACCGGAGCACCCCUGCCUUAGCCAAAUCAGACACCUCAAGAUGAGCUGACACCCCAGCCUGGGUAAACGAUACGUUUAGCCCAGCUGCCAAGGCUCUUUAUCUUUUUAAACACGGACUAGAAUGCUAAGGGAACAGGCCUCUUCCAAGACCCAACACAUGAGCUCAGCUGUAAGGCUGACAAUGUCGAUGUGCGCUUGCUGAAAAUGAGUAAAAUCACUCUAAUACCCUCCCUUGAGGGCAGGGCCAAAGAGUAAAAAUCACUCUAAUAGCUUCGCUUGCUGAUUUCUCCUCCUUUUUCUUUUUCUUUUUGUAAAUGGGUUUUGUUAAUGAGAGGAAAAUUAUACAAGCAGCAGAGAUUUCCCAAUACAUGUCUAGAUUAGAUACCAUACUCCUUCCAUAGAAAAGAGCAUCGGCUAUGUGAGCAACCUCAUGCAAAUAUGAUUGUAGAAGUCCUCUAUGCCAGUGGAUGAGCCCCAAAAUCCCAUCCAUGAUGCAAGCUGGCCUUGAUGGCCCCAAAGAGGUUUUGAAUUCCCAUGUAAUGACAUUGAAAGAAUAUGUUAAUAUGUUAACAGCUUUGUUUUUUUAUCUGCAGCGAUUUUAGCUGAGCAGAUAUGUUAUAGUUUCAUAAUUUUUUGUCACUGUAUUUUGCAGCAUUGUGCAGAUAAAAUUGGGUUGGGCUCGGGCAGGAUAUAUUGGGUUCGGUCUUGGGCUUGGGAUAUACAAACACCAACCCGAUAAAACUUGGGUCGGGCUCGGGCUGCCCGACCCAACCUGAACCCGAUCGAUAUAUAAGCUACUUAUAAAUUAUAAUUGAGUGUGGAUCGUCCAUGUUGAAGGCACAGGGAAUUCCACUGCUGUCAAGUCUCAUUGGUCCAUGUCAUUUCCGAUGACUCAAGCUAACAAGAUACAUCAGAUUUCUUUGUCCCAAAUAGAUUGCAUGCUACACAACACAACUUUUAAAGGAGUAGUAGUCCUGUAUUUUAGCUUGUUUGUUUAGUAAAAAUGAAGUUCUUUACGAUGAAUAAUUACAUAUAUAAUUAAUAAAAUCAUAGGUGCAAAAAAUAAGACAUGUAUUGAAAUAUAAUAGACUAAUGUAAUAACAAAAAUAUUAGCAUGUAACCACCUAACCAACCCUACCGAACCCGUUUGGGUUGGUCUUGGGUUGAGAAUUCCCAACCUAGGUUGGGUUGUGUUGGGUUGGGUUGGGUUAGGGUUGAGGUAUUGGAACCUCAGGUUGGGCUAGGGUUGAGCACCGACCCGCCUGACUUUCAGCCCUAGAUAAAAUGUAGUUUCAUAAUGUUAAUCGUUUCACUGACUGGUACAGAGUGGCUACUAAGAUUUUGGCUUUCUUGUGUCUGUUCAUGGAUAAAUCUUUUCUUCUUUUAGAGGCUGAUUUAGUGUUAGCUGAUUGACCUUGUCUUACAUUUGUGAGGCUCAUUUUACAGAAAGAAGAAGCUGCUCAUCAGCACGAAUUUAUCUUACAUAUGGCCUUGGAUAUUGUUCAGGACCUUGCAUGGACCAAAAAUGCUAUAUUGAUGCUACUCCAUGAUUCUCGCAACGAGGAUGGGAUAAAAAGCUUUUUCCAGGAGGUCCAUGAGCUUUAGAUAAAGAUUUUUCUGAAUCCUCUAUACUUGCCGGGAUCUCACAUCACGUCAUCGCAUUUCGGCAUGAAUGUUUGAGCCCUCACAAGGAAAUAUCUGUAGCUGUUCAUUCAGUUGGUAUCAAUGUUGAGGUUGUGAUCCUUUUGAAUGGGAUCUUUUGGCUAUUUGGAUAUACAGGCGAAUCCAAUUGUGAAUUCAGUGGAGAUGACCACUUCUUUUGCUAAGAAUAUGAGCAGAGAAUUUCUUCAAUAUAGAAGGCUCCAUCAUUUUAAACAUGGUGAUCAUGGCGCGGUUUCAAAUUUUGCUUCUGCUGGUAGAUGGGAUGUUCUUCUCAUAAAUUGGUUUGAGAUGAGAACAGGCUUAGAAACUAGCUCCACCUUUUCAUUCUCAGAAGUUACAUUGGUGGUUGAAAAAGUCAGAAAACAGAAUUCCACAUAAUUCAGUUUCUGUUUUCCUUGCAGCGCCAAAUUGAAAAGGAGAUGGUUCAACCAACAGCGGUGCAGAAAUGAACUGAUACUGAUUUGAAUGUGCAUCCAAAUGGCCAGUGUUGGACAGUUGCCGUGAGGUUAAUGGAAAAUGAAUUAGUACCAUGUAAAAGGCAACCUUUACGGCCUGUUUGGAACAUGGGAUUAGGUGGUAUGGAAUUGCACUUGGUCCCAUGCAAAUUCCAUCCUGCAUUUGAAAACCAUGAGAAGGAUUUGAUUAAUCCUGGUAUAUCAUAUCAUCCAGUCCCAACAGCAGAUACUGCAGGAUUUCUAGUGGAUUUUGAAAUCUACUACAUCUGUGAGCCCCGAUGCUUGUGUUUUUUCUACGCUGUCCAUCCAUAUGCGCCCUUUACACGUGACAUUCGAGUUACAUAUGCGUACAGGUGACCGACAUCAGUUGUGAAUAUGGUCCGUUGAUUACAAUUCCAUAGUUGACCAAACACAAAUUUCACUUAUUAUAGUGCUUUUCCCAAAGGAAGAAUUUGAUCCCAAACAUGGGAUUGGAUGGUCAAAAUACCAUAGUAUUUCCAGACAUGCAAUCAAUGAUCAAUGAUGGUUUUUAUUUCCAUUUAAUGCAAUUGCAUACCAUUUAAUCCCAUGAGCCAAACAGGAUGGUGAUCAGAUAUGAAUUUGUUUAGGGAUCUGACCAAGCUGGGAAAAGAAGUGAUAAGAUACAGGGAAGAUACCACAACUUUUGGUCCCGAGAACAAUCUUUUCCACCAGCACGCCACAUAUGUAAGAAGACCAAUACCAUGAAAACAGUAGGCCCCACCAUGAAGAUCACUUGGGACAAAAAUCAAGCUGCUCUGCUCAUGUAGGUGGGUCACUAUAUGGAUGAGUGGACAGCUGACAGUCGGGCUCAGCACACUGGUGUUGCCCACCUAGUGAGUGGAUCAGCUUGCUUAACGACAAGCUUGAUCUUCAUGGUGGGGCCCACUGUUUUCAUUGUACUUGUGUCCAAGAAAAUGGUACUGUUGCUUUUAGAUGAUCAGUACUGUGAUUGCUCUGGGGCUGGUAAACAGUCCUACAGGGAUGAGGAGAGGGGAGAACUGGGUGGCUUGACCUUUUGUAUUGUUUUGCAGCUAGUGAGAUGCUGACAGUAGGGGUGGCUAUGGACCUGGUGGCUUGGCUAUGUACAGGGCAUCCACGAUGGAAGCCCAAAUACUAGAGUUUGGAGAUUCUUAAACUGGUUUGGGUUCAGUUUUGUAAUGGAUGGUUGUUAUUAGGUUGCGAAUUUAAAUUCUUCACUGAGCACUGAUGUGGCUAGUUGCGAGAAUCCUAUUCCCUGGGUGUGCAAAUGUGGCACAUGCUAGAGAUCUAGGCUGUCCAUCAAGUUGUCUUUGCAUGCAUUAUAUUCCAAAAAUGGCAUCAACCAUUGUUGCAAGGAGCAAAAUCACAUUUGGAGAGUUUUGGAGAUUCUUAAGGUAUUUAAACUACAAGAAGAAAAGAAAAACACAUGGACAUUACCUGAACAUCACAUCGCCACUCCAUUUAACAAUAUUUGGAAUGUCUUUUUUCUUUUUUCUUUCUCCUUUUUUU